This 465-nucleotide ribosomal RNA is filed under the name uncultured bacterium. RNAcentral's name for it is "partial 16S ribosomal RNA". It matches the Rfam family "Bacterial small subunit ribosomal RNA", at positions 28 to 507 of the family's 1533-position model. The record is from RNAcentral.
GACGAACGCUGGCGGCGUGCUUAACACAUGCAAGUCGAACGGAAAGGCCCCUUUGGGGGUACUCGAGUGGCGAACGGGUGAGUAACACGUGAGUAACCUGCCCUUGACUUCGGGAUAACUUCAGGAAACUGGGGCUAAUACCGGAUAGGAAUCCUUGCUGCAUGGUGGGGGUUGGAAAGCUUCGGCGGUUUUGGAUGGACUCGCGGCUUAUCAGCUUGUUGGUGGGGUAGUGGCUUACCAAGGCUUUGACGGGUAGCCGGCCUGAGAGGGCGACCGGCCACAGUGGGACUGAGAUACGGCCCAGACUCCUACGGGAGGCAGCAGUGGGGAAUAUUGCACAAUGGGCGGAAGCCGGAUGCAGCAACGCCGCGGGCGGGAGGACGGCCUUCGGGUUGUAAACCGCUUUCAGCAGGGGCGAAGCUUGUGGUGACGGUACCUGCAGAAGAAGCACCGGCUAACUACGUG